GAAUUCUGUGUCUCCCUCUUCUCCCUGCUCCUCCCCUGCUCACACUCUGUCUCCCUCUCUCUUUCUCACAAAAAUAAACCUUAAAAAAAUAAUAAAAUAAAAUUAAAAAAAAAAGAGGUGAUGGGAGGUAAGCUGUAGCCCUGAUGGCAUUCCAUCCAGCCACCAGUGUGGACUGUUCUCUCCACCCCAACCGUCAUAGCUCCUGAUCCCAGAAGCCAAUGUUCCGGAGACCAUCGGACCCCUUCCAAGCUCUAAAGGCUACAAGCCCCGGACACAUGCCUUAUUCAGUCCAGAAGCCCCCAGAGAGGGCCCGCUAAUGCUAUAAUCCCCUUUCAGAUCACAAAGUAAGAUGACCACUUGGUCCCUUGUGGGAGUUGGUGACUCUGCCGCAGAAAGACAGUGUGUGAGCUUUUGUGGUCUCCCAGCUGAGGUGUCACUUUCGAAGCUUCUGCUCCCUUUACCACGACUCACAAAAUCCCAGACUGCCGGUGGUCAGUGGGAGCGGGGGGUGCGUCGUCCUAGUUCUGUUCCCUCGUGGCUCAAGACCCUUCGGCUAACAAGUUGUUGGGACACCUGCCUGCCUUGAGUGCUAACACAGAACAGUCCUGCUGAGAGUCAGGGAUGCGCUUCCCCAAGACAGUGGACAGAAAAGGGACCAGAACUGCCCCCCUGAAUUUAGGGAAGGAAGGAACAUGUGCUAUUUGAGAUUAAUCAACACAACAGAUGCAGAGUCUACUGUCCGUCUGUCAACAGCCUCCAGCCUUUGGAGACAGUGACGUUCCCAGUCAUGAGAAGGAUCUAUGGGGAAAUACACUUUCCUAAGUGCAGACUUUUUUUUUUUUUUUUUUUUUUUUUUUUUUUGUAAGCCACCAGUGCAUCAAGAAAUCCAGCCUAUCAGCCCUAUUUCCACACUGGAUGGUGUGUUUCCCUUCAGUUGCGGAGUCCAGACAACUACUUCAGAACGUAACUAGUGGAAGCAUCGUUGUGUGUGUACACAACAGUCUCCUUCCAAGUGGUUACUUGCCUCUGGCCUGGUUAAAGCCCAUCUUCGGAGAGCCGUUUAGGAAUAUGCCUGACCGCUUCUAAAAGCAGAGAGCAUUCUGGUUAAUGUGGAUAUUCUCUCAGGGAAACCAUCACAGUUUUUGGCUGACCAACUGGCCAAUGUAAAUGUGAUCCUCAAACGACAAGGGACUGACAGAAGAAUCAGUCAACAAGUAGAUUUCGAACCUCCUCAGCACGGUGCUUGGGGUAGGCUAAAGUCGAAAUCGUCACCACCUCCCCCUCCUGUUCCAGUUGGUGGACGAAGCAGUAAGGAUGGCCGUCACAGAAUUUACUGAGCACUUCCCACGCCGUCAGGCACCAUACUGAGAGCCCUUUACAUUUACACCCAUUACUUCCUUCGGUCCUGACGCUCAUUUUACAGAGAAAGCGGAGGCAGAGAGCCUGGGAACCUGCCCGAGGUCACAGAAGCGGUGUGGACGAAGCUGUGAUGGGAACCCAGGCCGUCUGACUCCAGAGCCGGUAUUCCUGCCCACCACACUCUACAGCACCCACCACCCUGGAGCUCCGAUUCUGCCCUUUCUCCAAAAGCGAGCACAUCUUGGAGGGUGGACGCCAAAUUCCAGAGAAGCCCACCUCAGCCACUGGAGGCCGGCAGGAACAGCUCCAGCACCAGCAAACGAUCAGAACAAGAAGAAGGAAGAAGGGAGAAUUCAGAGCCUGGGUGAGUCAGAGAACACCGAGCGUUUCAGAUGACCCAGCCCAGCCGCUUCACUCCCGGCCUGUGGCCUCCCCAAGGGUUCAGCCUUCCUCCAAAGAGGCACUUCCCCUGCCAGCACCGGUGCUUCUGGUGCUACAAACCAAACUGGGGGCCAGGAAACUACAAUCUGGGCGCCAAACCCAGCCCAUUACCUGUUUCCGUACAGCCCACAAAGAACGGUUAUUACGUUUUUAGAAGGGUGGAGAGGGGGAAGAAAUUACACAGUUUCAAGCUAUAAAAUUCAAGUACCAGUGACAAUAAAAUUGUAUUAGAACAUG
Molecule: long non-coding RNA, 2037 nt
Organism: Felis catus (domestic cat)
Lineage: Eukaryota; Metazoa; Chordata; Mammalia; Carnivora; Felidae
Exons: 2
Source: RefSeq, a predicted model, not a curated record